GCCUUAGUGGUGCAACGUUAGCAAACUCGGUCCAUAUUCGACAGGUCCAGGUUCGAGUCCCGGCGAGGGCA
This 71-nucleotide transfer RNA is filed under the name Stegodyphus mimosarum. It matches the Rfam family "tRNA". Rfam says of the family: Transfer RNA (tRNA) molecules are approximately 80 nucleotides in length. Their secondary structure includes four short double-helical elements and three loops (D, anti-codon, and T loops). Lineage: Eukaryota; Metazoa; Arthropoda; Arachnida; Araneae; Eresidae. The record is from Rfam by way of RNAcentral.